Molecule: ribosomal RNA, 497 nt
Filed under: uncultured bacterium
Lineage: Bacteria
Description: partial 16S ribosomal RNA
Rfam family: Bacterial small subunit ribosomal RNA
Source: RNAcentral
GACGAACGCUGGCGGCGUGCCUAACACAUGCAAGUCGAGCGAACAGACCAGGAGUUUGCUCCUCUGACGUUAGCGGCGGACGGGAGAGUAACAUGUGUAUAACCUACCUCUCAGACUGGGAUAAUAUUGGGAAACCGGAGCUUAUACCGGAUAAUAUAUUGAACCGCAUUGUUCAAUAGUUAAAUUCGGUUUUUGUGUCUCUAAUAGAUUGAUACGGGCUGCAUUCGCUAGUUGGUUAGGUAACGGAUUACCCAGGCUACGAUGGGAACCCGACCUGAGAGAGAGGUCGGCCACAUUGGAAGUGAGGCAGGGUCAAGACUCCGGCGGGAGGCCGCAGUCGGGAAUCUUCCGCAAUGGGGGAGAGCUUGACAGAGCAACGCGGCGUGAGUGAUGAAGGUGUUCGGAUCGGAAAGCUCUGUUAUUCGGGGGGAACUAAUGUGUAAGUAACUGUGCACGUCUUGACGGUACCGGGUGAAAAAGCCCCGGCUAACUACGUG